AUUAAUUGAAUGUAUAGUUAGCAGACAUAAUUUUAAAAACAAUUUUUUUCUUUUCAAAUCAACGUGAAAUCAUUUGGGAAACACGUCUGUAAUGUUUUAAACAUUUGGGAAAUAAUGAUUUUAUCUGAAAAUCAAGUUACAUGUCACAUGUGCGAUAGCUGGACAGUUUUACCAUGGUUUGUGAGUCAUCCAAUCACAGCUGAGAAUGUGGAAAGUGCUGCUAAAGCAUAAAAGAAACGUUCACUUUCCUAAAAUGGAUUCAUUAUUAGCGCUAAUUGUUGCAUUUUCUUGGUUAUUAUGCUACAUGUAAUGCUGAAAGCAGCAUAUAUGCUCAGCAAAGUCCAACCCCACGUCCGUGCAAAAUAACGUGAGCCACGUGCUGAGCGGGCAACAUCUUAGGUGGCUAACGGGGCAAUGGCAAAUCCUCCUGGAGUAAAAAUGAAAAAUAUCUAAGGGCGAAAUUGGAUAUCGGCUUACUAGCUAUGAUUUUAAGUUCUGUCGAGACUGGAAAUGACACAGAGGCAAUCCGCCCAUUUAUAGAGAAUAUCCAUCAAACUCUGUCCGAAUUUGUUAGUAUUUGUCCCUUUGAAGCAGC
This is a long non-coding RNA of Temnothorax curvispinosus, 595 nucleotides long. RefSeq lists it as uncharacterized. The record is from RefSeq and is a predicted model, not a curated record. The transcript has 3 exons. NCBI's taxonomy places the organism in Eukaryota, Metazoa, Arthropoda, Insecta, Hymenoptera, Formicidae.